RNAcentral lists this ribosomal RNA (492 nucleotides) under uncultured bacterium. RNAcentral describes it as "partial 16S ribosomal RNA". It matches the Rfam family "Bacterial small subunit ribosomal RNA", at positions 29 to 507 of the family's 1533-position model. The record is from RNAcentral.
AGUGAACGCUGGCGGUAGGCCUAACACAUGCAAGUCGAACGGCAGCACAGUAAGAGCUUGCUCUUACGGGUGGCGAGUGGCGGACGGGUGAGGAAUACAUCGGAAUCUACUUUUUCGUGGGGGAUAACGUAGGGAAACUUACGCUAAUACCGCAUACGACCUACGGGUGAAAGCAGGGGAUCUUCGGACCUUGCGCGAUUGAAUGAGCCGAUGUCGGAUUGGCUAGUUGGCGGGGUAAAGGCCCACCAAGGCGACGAUCCGUAGCUGGUCUGAGAGGAUGAUCAGCCACACUGGAACUGAGACACGGUCCAGGCUCCUACGGGAGGCAGCAGUGGGGAAUAUUGGACAAUGGGCGCAAGCCUGAUCCAGCCAUACCGCGUGGGUGAAGAAGGCCUUCGGGUUGUAAAGCCCUUUUGUUGGGAAAGAAAAGCAGCAGGUUAAUACCCCGCUGUUCUGACGGUACCCAAAGAAUAAGCACCGGCUAACUUCGUG